This 25-nucleotide microRNA is filed under the name Magallana gigas (Pacific oyster). RNAcentral describes it as "Mgi-Mir-87-P1_5p* (star (passenger))". Lineage: Eukaryota; Metazoa; Mollusca; Bivalvia; Ostreida; Ostreidae. The record is from RNAcentral.
GGGCCCGAAAUUUUGGCUCAAACCU